GACGAACGCUGGCGGCGUGCUUAACACAUGCAAGUCGAACGGAAAGGCCCUGCUUGUGUGGGGUGCUCGAGGGGCGAACGGGUGAGUAACACGUGAGUAACCUGCCCUUGACUUUGGGAUAACUUCAGGAAACCUGGUCUAAUACCUGAUAGGAGCUCCUGCUGCAUGGUGGGGGUUGGAAAGUUUCGGCGGUUGGGGAUGGACUCGCGGCUUAUCAGCUUGUUGGUGGGGUAGUGGCUUACCAAGGCUUUGACGGGUAGCCGGCCUGAGAGGGUGACCGGCCACAUUGGGACUGAGAUACGGCCCAGACUCCUACGGGAGGCAGCAGUGGGGAAUAUUGCACAAUGGGCGGAAGCCUGAUGCAGCAACGCCGCGUGCGGGAUGACGGCCUUCGGGUUGUAAACCGCUUUCGCCUGUGACGAAGCGUGAGUGACGGUAAUGGGUGAAGAAGCACCGGCUAACUACGUG
RNAcentral lists this ribosomal RNA (468 nucleotides) under uncultured bacterium. Its description in RNAcentral is "partial 16S ribosomal RNA". It matches the Rfam family "Bacterial small subunit ribosomal RNA", at positions 28 to 507 of the family's 1533-position model. The record is from RNAcentral.